GUUAAGUAGGUGAGAGCAGGCGCGGGUAUAGGUAGGGGGCGGUCGUUAAGCGGAAGUGAUGGGCGGAAAGGGGGCGGAGGCGGUUGGAUAAGGCAGAUGGGAAAGCCCCGGGCGCAACCUGGGAACUGCAUUUGAGACGGUACGGUGAGAGUUUGGCAGAGGGGGGUGGAAUGCCACGGGUAGCAGGGAAAUGCGUAGAGAUGUGGAGGAACACCGAUGGCGAAGGCAGCCCCCUGGGCCAAUACUGACGCUCAGGCACGAAAGCGUGGGGAGCAAACAGGAUUAGAUACCCCUGUAGUC
RNAcentral lists this ribosomal RNA (300 nucleotides) under uncultured Halogeometricum sp. RNAcentral's name for it is "bacterial SSU rRNA". It matches the Rfam family "Bacterial small subunit ribosomal RNA", at positions 496 to 795 of the family's 1533-position model. Lineage: Archaea; Methanobacteriati; Methanobacteriota; Halobacteria; Halobacteriales; Haloferacaceae. The record is from RNAcentral.